CCUGACUGCUAUCGGAUUGAUACUAAGCCAUGCGAGUCUUUGCAGUAAUGCAAGGCAUACGGCUCAGUAACACGUAGUCAACUUACCCUAUGGACGAGGAUAAUCUCGGGAAACUGAGCAUAAUACUCGAUAGAUCAUAAUGCCUGGAAUGGUUUAUGGUUGAAAUGAUUCGUCGCCAUAGGAUGGGACUGCGGCCUAUCAGCUUGUUGGUGAGGUAAUGGCCCACCAAGGCGAUUACAGGUACGGGCUCUGAGAGGAGAAGCCCGGAGAUGGGUACUGAGACAAGGACCCAGGCCCUAUGGGGCGCAGCAGGCGAGAAAACUUUGCAAUGUGCGAAAGCACGACAAGGUUAAUCCGAGUGAUUUCUGCUAAAGAAAUCUUUUGCAAGUCAUAAAACCACUAGUGAAUAAGGGGUGGGCAAGUUCUGGUGUCAGCCGCCGCGGUAAAACCAGCACCUCAAGUGGUCAGGAGGAUUAUUGGGCCUAAAGCAUCCGUAGCCGGCUCUGUAAGUUUUCGGUUAAAUCCAUGUGCUCAACAUAUGGGCUGCCGAAAAUACUGCAUAGCUAGGGAGUGGGAGAGGUAGACGGUACUCGGUAGGAAGGGGUAAAAUCCUUUGAUCUAUCGAUGACCACCUGUGGCGAAGGCGGUCUACCAGAACACGUUCGACGGUGAGGGAUGAAAGCUGGGGGAGCAAACCGGAUUAGAUACCCGGGUAGUCCCAGCUGUAAACGAUGCAGACUCGAUGAUGCAUUGGCAUAUAGCCAGUGCAGUGUCGCAGGGAAGCCGUUAAGUCUGCCGCCUGGGAAGUACGUACGCAAGUAUGAAACUUAAAGGAAUUGGCGGGGGAGCACCACNAAGGGGUGAAGCCUGCGGUUC
Molecule: ribosomal RNA, 876 nt
Filed under: uncultured archaeon
Lineage: Archaea
Description: bacterial SSU rRNA
Rfam family: Archaeal small subunit ribosomal RNA
Source: RNAcentral